CUGAAUCAUUACAACACACACACACAAUACACGCUCUAUUUUCAGAACAGACUUUUUAUGUAUAGUUUUUUUUUUUGUCAAUGGCAUUUCAUAUGCAAAGCAUGCAUCAGCCACAACGAGGCUAUCUCUGAGCCUAGUCAUUCCGAAACCUGAUCUGGGAGAAAGUGCAGACUAAAUACAAUUUCAUUUUGACUUGGCCUCCCGCUGAGAAUGGGACUGCUUUGUUUCAGCCAACAGAAGCAGCAAGCCAGAAAGGUAUGUCCUGUUUUGCAUGGCCGAUGUGUGACUUAAGGAUCACAAUCUUGCUGUUCAUGCUUCCAGGACUCGAUACCAAGUCCAUAUCCUGUGCUUUCAUUCCUAUACCCUUUGCAUUCGCUUUCCUUCUGUGCUGACUGCUGACUGCUGACUGCUGUCUACCUGCAGGGCAGAGCAAUGGCAGACUCUGGGACAAUUGUUUGCUUUGGCGUAUGUCUAAUAACUGCAUAAUUGCUUGGGAUGUUGUUUUUCUACUGUUUCUCCUAUUUAUUCUGCCCCUUCCUUUCGGAUCUUAUUUUUAGAUGCUUAUGCCAACUGAAAAUUUCAAUGAACACAGAGCAAUCUCUAAACUGAAUAUAUAUAUAUAUGGUUUAGUAUAAUAUCUGAUUGUAGAUCAUUUUAGAGAAUUGUAACAUACAAAUUUUAUUUUUUUAUAAAAUUAUAUUAUUUUAUAUAAUUCAUGUUAAUGAUUAGUAAUUAAAAUUAUUUUGACAUUCAAGAGGAAAACAUUGAACACAAUGUUAAAAUAUUUAAAAUCUGUUCUAUAUUAAUGAUUAAAUAAAAAAAAAUUGAUUACUGCAGAACCAAUUGCAUUUUAUUCAUUUAAUUAUUUUUUAUUCCCCCCCCCCCCCAGAAAUAGACCAUUUGAAUCUUAUAACAAUAAUAAAAAAAUAAAAAAAAUUAUUAAUGUAGUGCAAACUAGGAUUUAUACAGUUAAAUGCUGUCUGCAGAUGGGAUGUAAAUAAUUCAGUGUCAUGAUUCUUAUUGGAAAAAAUCCCAUAACGGAAAUAGUGUUUUGUAAUCUUUGGAAGACUGGUAGAAAAGAAAACCAGACAAUUUAAAUGUGCUACUCUGUUAUUGUUUGCUUGUUUUUUUUUUUUUCCUCUACACAUUGCAUUUUCUCAAUACAAUGUUCCUUUAAACCCUUACUCUUCCAACUUGAUGAAAGACCAUAAGUAUUUAGUAACAUGGUUGUGGACAUGGGUGGAAAGUUUGAUUCACACGUGUGGUUUUCAUUUCACUUUAAAACAUUGCAAUAUGAUUUACCUUGCGUUAAAUAUAUAUCAAAGAAAUGUGUGUGAGUUUAUCCUUGUGAGAGAAUGUGUGUGCAUAAAAAACACUCAUUUGUGUAUGCGUAAUAUUAACAUAAAUAAACAUGUAUGUGUGCAUAUAGACCUAGAUAGAUGACAGAAAUGUGCAUUUAAUUUUAUUUAAUCUAAAAUAUCGUAAUACAUUAGACAGAUAGAUAGAUAGACAGAUAGAUAGAUAGAUAGAUAGAUAGAUUGAUAGAUUCUAAUAAACAAAGUGUAUUUUCUUCAUUAAGUAACAUUCUUGAGUGGAGAUUCAGCUUGCAACAUUUUAUCUAAAAUAACUGAGCUUUAUUUAAUUUUUUCCAUCACAGCCAGUUCAAAGAUUUUUUCCUGCCUGGCUGUUUUGUUAUAUCUUUUGUCACUUAUGAUGUCACAAAAUAAAAUAUUUAGUUAACAGAGCACAUGCAUGAUAUAUAAUAACAUAUUGCUAUGUUAUUGGCUAGUAAUAUUUGAUUACAAUUAUAAAUAUGAUUGUAACACAUUUUUUUUUUAUUGAAAUUUUAUACAAGUAUUUUAAUUUUGUGGUUACUUUCUAAAUAGUAAACAGAUGCACAUAGAUAAAUUGUAUACUGAUGUUAGUGAAAGCAACAAGAAAGUGAAAAUAGCCAGUAAAUUAUACAUUGUUUGUAGUAUUACAUUGUCACAUAUUUAAAAAAAAAUAAUUAUACAUAUAAUACACCAACUUUUACAUAGUAAACAAAACAUAACUAAUAUAGAAGAAAAUGAUCAUAUACAGCUGAACACAUUAUAUUGAUUUGUAAAUGAUAAUGUUCCUAAAUGAUGCUUACUGUAUUUUAACCUUUUGACUGCCAGAUUGUGAGAAAGUACAUUGAGUGCAGUAAUAGACCAUUGAAAACAAAACAAAUUCCAUUAAAAUUGUUGAUAGCACCAUGAAUUUAAUUUACUUGUAUGCAAAAAAUAGAUUGUUAAAAUAGUACACCUGUUGAAAAAUGAAUACCACUUGCCAUUCUAAAAAUACUUAACGUUCUGCAUUUAACAUCAACAAAAAUUUUGGCACUUGAGUUUAUUUAAAAAUCUUAGUUCACUCAUUAUUAAUUGUAAUGCUAACAACAAAUAAAAUAGAAUAGGGAGACAGACAUAUGUACACUGAUAACAAAACAAGAUGAAGGUAUUGCAUCUUGUGACAUUUGAUUUCAAAUGACACACUGGGCACCAUAACAACGUUAUUGUUAUGAAGUUGUUAUGGUGCCCAGUAUGGUCCUUUAGGUUUUCAAGUGGGUGGUGGUAAUUCAAUACUUCCUGAAUGUACACAAAGCGUUAAUCCUGCCCCACAUUACAGGCAUUUGAUAUAUAUAUAUGAUGAUAUAGAACGAUAGUUAGAUCACUAUGUAUGAUGUAUUCAUUCCAUCUAAGAAGUAAACAUUCAAAUCUCUCUGAUGCCAGCUGAGCCUGGAACACCAUCUGCUAUUAAAGAGUUAAUACACCGAUGAAGAGCUGAGCUCCGCAGUACACACUGUUAAGUUCUUUGCUUUUCAGUCAACAGUGCGAAUCUGUUCCUGAACACUAAGUAAAUGGAAGUCACUAAGAGGAGCUGAAGGCCAGAAGUUAACUAGCAUUUUGUAUCGAAUGAUACUUAUGUGAUGAAAAGUUCAUAUAGAGGAAAUUAUUACAAUGAGAGAUAUUGCCUGUUACGUUUCUUAACCUUCUCUUACUUUUUAAAUGGGCACUUAUUUAUGCACUAGGAAAAAUCUAUAAUUAGAAUAAAAUUACUAUAUUCUUAUACAUGUAUGGUUUUUUUCCAGAGCACUUAAAUACUGUAUAUAAAGUUGUCAUCACAUUUUAGAAUAGUUCCUUAACUUUCUCCUGAGUGUACAUCUAGUCCUAGACAUGCUCUGAUCACACUCACUGACCAUUUAGCAGAACUAAGUUUACAGAUUUUCAGUAUAUUUUUUGGCUGUUUUGUACGUUGUUUUUUUUUAUAUAUAUAUAUAUAUAUAUAUAUAUAUAUAUAUAUAUAUAUAUAUAUAUAUAUAUAUUUUGCAACGGUUAUUUAUUUUUCACUUACCUGAAAAUUUUUAUAUAUAUACAAAGGGGUGAAGACUAAGAAAUACAUCAUUAUACUUGUGAUUUCACCUUAUAUAUUAUAUAUUUUAGAUAUAAUUAUUAAAUAUGACAUGGAGACAUGGAAUAAAACCUUUCAAUGAAGGUCUCUGAGAUGAAAUUAAAGGCUAGUUUAUAUAUGCUACGGACUGUAUAUUUAGUACUUUACAUCUACAUUGUGACAAAUAUGUGUUGUCACGUGUCAUCAUAUCUCACCUGUCAUCAUAUCUCCAUUAAAUAACUAACGAGUGACAGCAGGAAGGUGCACUUGAAACCGGGAUCCACAUCUUAGAAGGCCCAAAAACUCUGAGACCCCCUGCAAUCUAGCUUUUGAAUGUCUAUUAGGGACAUUCAGGAAAUCUGUGCAUUUGUUGAUAUUUCAAACUACUACUACCAACUGAUUGUAACUAAAUGCGGUGUCAUAUGUGUAUAUAUAUUAAAUUUUUGCCAUAUUGGGCCCAUGAAUAGCUUACACCAAAUAAGAUAAUAAAACCUAUUAAUUACAUAGACCUCAUGCUUCAUUACUUAAACUACUUGGGACUGGAUAAUCCCAAACCGUAACUUUGGCUAAAUAAAUAUUAAUGGGCAGAUAUAUUUUGUGUGCACCAUAUUCUGUUAUUGUUUAACAUAUUAUCACUAACUGCAGAAAAUGUCUUAUAACACCAGCUAGGAUUAUACAGUCAAACAUGAGUAAGGCAAUUCUGAUUGUAUCUGCUGUAUAGUCAAAAGUCACUCACCCUGCUUCUCGUACCUAUCGGGUCAUACAUGCAGGAGACAAUUUUUUUUUUUUUUACUUUAUCACUUUGUUGCUUAUUCCUGAAACAAUGAUGAAAAACACAUUUAUUGAAAACCCCAUAGGUUUUAUUUACGACUCAGCAAAUUGUAGUGAAUUGAAGAUUGAAUUCCAAAAUUGAGGCCAAAAUAUUUGCUCAAGUUCUUUACAACUUUGGCCUCUAUGUAAUUAGAGUAAAUAAAAACUUUCCAAAUUAUCAAAUUAUUUAUCUACAAAGCUUGCCAUAUGCUUUAAUUGUAACUUUAUUUGAAAAAUCGUUUUAACUGUACUGAAACAUUUGGAAAGCUUAUUAAAUUGAGGCCUUUGUUAUUUUGGCCUAAAUUUUACAAUAUGAUAUUUAAUUAAGAAUAAUGCACUGCUUAGUAAAUAAACCCCACAGAGUUAUUUAGUAAGCUGUUAAAUGUUGGACACUGACUACCAUUGUCAAUAAAUGUGUAAUGAAAAAAAAUCUUUUUUUUUUUUUUUUUUACUCCAGUUAAGUGAUUUGGCCUUUAAAUUAAAAUUCAAUCAUCAGUUCCAAAAUGUUCUUGGUUUGGAGAAUAGCUCUGCUAAUACAUAAAUCGUAAAAAGGAAAUGUGAACAUACAUGCUCAAGAAUCUUAAAGGAAAUAUGUUUAACAGCGUAAAUCUACAAUCUGUGUUAAAUCGUUCAGCAUAGUGUAGUAGAUAUUUAUUCAUUUCCUGCAGUUGAACAUAUUUUUUUAAUGAUGUAGAUUAAACAUAUUAAACAUGGAUCUGUCAUGUUCCCAAAUCUUACUUUUUUAUGUCAUAAUACUUAAAAGUGUAAUAGUGUAAAUAUACACAUAUACACAUCAACUGUACUCUGGAAGUAGUUUAGGCCACCCAAGAAAAUUGCAUUUUAAGCUAAUUAUCUGGGUAAUUGUUUAUUUCUUCAGACAAAAAAAUAACCAUUUGAAUAUGUAAAAAUGAGCUUUAUGACUAUAAAAAGUUACUAAUAACAUAUUAUGUUUCAGACCAGCAAUUUGUUAAAUUCCACGCACACACCUGAUUUUACUCAAUGUGGUAUUGAUUAGACGAAAUAGGUGAGCGUUUGGUGGAAUUUAACUAACACGAUCCAUGGAAUGAAUGUGUGCCUUGAGGAGAUGUUUGUAAAUGGCUAAGCUAACAUAGUUUGACAGACAGAAAAUCAUAGUUUGGCAUCAACAAGGCAAUCUCAGUGAGCAAAAGCCUGCCUAACCGGAUUUUCAAGAUGUUACGAUCAAGCUGUCAAAAGGAAAUUUAAAAAAAAAAACUUUGCAAGUUAACAAAAAUGCAGUGGAAGACUAAAAAGCCGCUUGAAUCUGAUGAACAUUACUUGAAAGUCAAUACAAUGCGAGACAAAACGAAAGCCAGUGAAGUGUUUGCUCAGUAUAUGGCAGGUAGUGUGGUACCAAGGCAUAUUCUUUCAUCAUAAGACAGAUGAUGGUGGAAAUUUGUAUUGAAUAGUAUAUUCAAAUUUAACAUUGUUGGAUAAAAAAAUGAAUAAAAAAGCUAAAUAUUCCAAAAAAAUAUUUGCUGUUUGCACAUUUUUAAUGGUAAUUUUCACCAUGUGAUUUACAACAGUCAAGCAUAUUGUAUUAUUUUUAGACCACCUCGGAUUUGAAACUUAUAUAUCUGUCCGUCCGUCUAUUCACCCAUUCAUCUAGUCAUCCAUCCAUCUAUCCAUCCAUUUCUCUCCCAGGCUUUUUAUGUCUCUUUGAUUAGCAAGAUAAUUUUUUAGAUGAUUUAUGUGGGUAAUAAUUAGGAGCACUAGGUAAUGAGACUGUACUACACAUACAUCAAAGACAAGUUCACAUUCACAAAGUCAGUGAGAUUGUUAGUUUUAGUUACUAGUUAGUUACUUUGUCACUGCAUAAUUCAAUGACUUGUAGGUUAAAUAUUGUUUUAAUCUUAAUUACACUGGUUAUAAUAGAAGUGUGGUUUGCCAUGGCCUUCAGGGUCCUCCCUCACAUGAUCACCUAUAGCAAAAAUGAGGUCUUGAAUGCAGAUACAUACUGCCUCUGUUGAAUGUUUCCACAAGUCAUUCUCUCAUGUGAUAGAUUUUUAUGAUGGUCUUUGGGUACUAUUUACCUUGGGUAACGAAUUCAUCCUUACAUAGAAAUGUUUAUGAUGUUAUUUACCGUCCUGACAGAAAUAGUUGUGCCCAUCUGCAACCAUACACCCAGAUACCUGAUAAACCCAGCAUUUCUAGGGAUGCCGGCCUCUACGGAUCUUUGUCACUUUAUAGCCCUACGGCCACCCACGUUGAUGACAACAUUUUGGGGUCAAAGGUCUAUUACAACCAAUCGGAUAAACAGUAGGGUUAUUUAAACUCAUUUUUACAUUCUCUCAUUGCCCUGUUGUGGUUUCUGCCUGAUGGUAAUCCGAGAGUGCAUUCCUGAUCUUGAUAUUUUGGUAUUUGACUUUGCCUUCGUUCUGACGUUCUGACCCUGAUUUCUGGUAUCCUUGACUUUUGGCUUUCCCUCAUUGUUGUGUCUGAUUCUGUAUCUCUGACCUUGGCAAAGUAUUCUGACUAUUCUUGGAUAUGUUAAGUCCGGCCACCCUAAGGUCCGGUUAGACGUUAUCCUUAGUCCUAGGUGUGAUACAAUUCUGCGUGCUGGAUCAAUUAGUAAUCCUAACACCGUGAUGGGGUUUAGACCUACUUAGAGUCAGUCUUCGGACCGUGAUUGAUUAUAUCAUAGCUCUAAGGUAUUUCACAACAAGAAAAAAAGAACAAAAUGCAUCCAGAGAUGUGGCAAAUUCUGCAGGACAGAUAGAAGAUUUUCUACAGGGCAAUUUAUAAAAAGACCCAACACUGCUACUGAACCAAAAUAAAUUUCUAAAACAGUGUCACUGAACAGUGCUACUUUUCCAUUUAUAAAAAAAAAAUCAUACAAUGCUGACUUAUUCUAAAACAAAAAGUAUUACUUUUCAUGAUUCUAAUGUUACUUGCAGAUAUUUAUUAUAAUAUAGUUUAAAAGAUUUUGGAAUGUUUUGUGCUGUGUAAUAUUUUUGUUCAGCAAUAAUUAUAGAACUAAAAUAUAUCAACAUAAUGUCACUUUAACCAUAUUAUUAUUAUUAUUUGUAUAAUUUGAUCAUGUCACUUUAAAAACACUUUUUUUUUUUCCAAGUGUAAAUUAAAACCUUAAUUUCCAUUAAUUAAUGUUGUAGCCCAUGUUUUUUUCUGGCACCAUUGUGUUUUUUUUUAGAACUGGUGGCUGAAAUUGCCCUACAUCUUCAAGGUGGGGUAGUAUCAUUGAUAAUCCUGCCCUAAUGUGUUUUAUUACCCACCUCAUAUAGACUGUAAGCUUGUUUAAGAAGGAACUUCUUCAACCUAUCAUUCCUGUAAGUUUUCUUGUAAUUGUCCUAUUUAUAGCUAAAUCACCCCCUCUCAUAAUAUUGUAAAGCGCUACGGAAUCUGUUGGCGCUAUAUAAAUGGCGAGAAUAAUAAUAAUAAUAAUAAUAAUAAAUAUCAUCUUAAUUUAAAAAAGCUAAAAAAAAUAUUAUUUUCUCAAAAGGUCUCCAUGUGCAUCCCAAGUGUGUACAGGUGCUUGUUAAUCAAUAUUUACAGUAAUAUUUACUCAAGUGAAAUAUCAAAGUGAAUUCAUUUUGAAUUUCAAAUUUAAGACCAAAAUAGCUGAAGUGACACCACAGUUGUCAUCAGAUUCAAGUAAGUUUUCCAGUUUGGGUGUUUUUUAUUUAAAUUUGAAAUUCACUUUGAAUUCUCACUUUAGUGAAUAACUCUGAUAAUGUAAGAUGUACUAAAAGUACUACUUAAUCUAGAGUAUACCCAAAAACAAAAAAAUGGAAUGCACGCAAUAGAUUAAUUCUCAAUGUAAUAAAGUUACAAAGUCACUUUAUUUUAUCUGUUUCUGUGACAUGGCAAUGCCUCAGUGUUUGGAUGAGAACACACUGCUAGCCACUUUGUCUUACAGCCACUAGAGGUGCUUUUUACUUUAAGACCUUCAAAUUAUGAAGGUCUUCACAUUCAGCAAGUGCAAUCAUUCACAGCAUGAUGAUACUGAAUGAUAUUAAUGCUUUAUCAGGGGGCAUAAUCUAAAUAAAAAGGGAACACAUCUAAUGUAGAAAUAAAUAUAUGUAUUUUUAACAUUAAAGUGUUACUUUAAAAACAGGUGUCCAUGAAUGUUACCUGACAAGAAAUGGAAAUUUCAUUAAAAAAAAGAUAUGUGUGAGUUGUGCUUGUCUUUGAAUAGAAACAUGUUUGAAUAUAUUGCUUUUCUGGCUUAUACUGACAAAUGAUGAACUAAAUUGUCUUCUGAAUUCCAUUUUCUGCAAAAAUAAUUCCUGAAUUUAAUGAAAGCAGAUAAUGUAUUAUACAAAAAUGCAUAAGCUAUUGAUUUUACAGUUGUAUUCCUUUUGAUAUUCUAUUCAGAAGAGCUCAUAUCUCUAUUAUGAUUUCAAAUUGUGAUUGAUAUUUUUUUGCUAAUAUGCAAAAUUUGUGGUAUUUCGUUUUUUGUUUUUUUUUGCUUUGCUUGCUUUUCUAAUCUUAAACUCCAUCAUUACCAAUGAAAAAUUUCACUCACUGUUCUUUUCUUUAGUUGUUUAUUACCUAAGCAGUAAAUUGAGUUAAAUUGAUUUGGAUAUAUUCAGUCCACAAAAAUAGGAAUGUAACUGUAUUGGGGAACGAGUGUCAGUUCAGCAAUUUUGUUCUAAAUGUAUCAAAUUUAGUUUUGAUUUCAAGAUCAUUCACUGUUUAUUUAAUACAUUCUUUAGUUUCAUCCAGUUAACAGCCAUUUCUAAAGCUUAAAAAUGGUAACCAUUGAAUGGAGUUUGCAAAAAAACAAGUGUAAAAUGAACACACUAAGAAAGGGGGGAUACUUCCUGCAGGGUGCUCUAGAAAUGGAGGGCCAAUCCCUGAAGACAUCAAAUGGGAAAAAAAUAUCCAGGCCCACCUGAGGUUUCUUCUAAAAGGCAGUCUUUAUUUGAAAAAAGGAAGUGGAGACAAAGUUUCUGCUCCUCUCCGAGUCUUUAUCAAGUCUACUUGAUAAAGGCUCAGAGAGGAGACUAAACGUUGUCUCCACUUCCUUGUUUCAAAUAAAGACUGCCUUUUAGAAGAAAACUCAGGUAGGCCUGGAUAUUUCUUUUUUUUAACAUUGAAUAAAGUGACAGUUGCAGACAACUCUAUACUCUAUAACCAAUGCAAUGAAAUCAAAUUGUUAUAUUGCCUAUGGUGUCCCUUAAACCCCUUAAGGACACAUGACAUGUGUGACAUGUCAUGAUUACCUUUUAUUCCAGAAGUUUGGUCCUUAAGGGGUUAAAUAAUUAUGAUUAAAACUGCAUUUCACAAAAUAUGACCUUCAGGUGAAUACACAUUUAAUCUAUGUAUAGUGCUGGAUAAAUUCCUAGGAAAUGUAUACUAAAAAUGGUAUCUGAUAGUGGCUGAGUGCAUAUGGUGUUCCGUAUAAAGUGAUCGCAAGUUGCUGGGUUUUGGGUUUUUUGAGAAUUUAGCACUGAAAUUAAUCCUUCCUGUUUGGCCUCUUCUUUAAAAGGGCUUGGUAUAUAACUUUCAAUAAUGGUAGUUCUAACAUGUUAUCUGCCUUGAAUGACUUGCUAAUAACCUAAAACCUUUAAAAUUCAUCUAUCAUGACUAAGAUAGCUUGGUGUCCUAAAAUAUAUCUCUGUAUAUAUCAGACUAUAUAUAGGCUACUUUUUAUCAGUGGGGGUCUAAAUAUGGUAACACAGUUUAGAAACACGUGGGCAACCUUCAACUCCUAGCAUGUGCCUACAUACUCAAUCUAGACAAUGCAGGAUGGCUCCAUACAAUUAGGAAUCUUUAAAUCCAGGCACUAAUUUAUUCCUAGCAGGAUACUUUGAUAGGUGAGAAGGAAGUGAGAAGGAAGUGAUUCUCAGAUAAGUAUAUCUAUUAAUCUGUAUAUAUAUAUAUAUAUAUAUAUAUAUAUAUAUAUAUAUAUAUAUAUCCUGAUAACUUUAUGCUAGUGGUUUACCAAUUUUAAUCGAUGAAAAUUCUAAUCAUAUUUAAAAGCAAAAUGCUAAAUAGUCAAUAAGAUUAACCCCUUAAGGACACAUGACAUGUGUGACAUGUCAUGAUUCCCUUUUAUUUCAGAAGUUUGGUCCUUAAGGGGUUAAAUGCAAAUGCCAGCUAGUACCAAAUGCCACCAAGUAUGUUUGUUUUCUCAGAUGUUUCAUAGCAAAGACAUUUCACACCUCACUUUACAUGCUUUAAGAACUGUGCUGCUUUUUUACAUUUUCAAGGACAUUAAUUUUGACCUUUGGGUAGCAUUUGCAGGACUUAUUAUAGUUGAUGUUUAUUUCACUAUUGAACAAUUCAAUGUCUUCUUUAACUCAGAUGUAAUAGUCAGAUGUACUGUCUCAGUCUGUCUGUCUAUCUAUCUAUCUAUCUAUCUACACUGAACAAAAUUAUAAACGCAGCACUUUUGUUUUUGCCAGAUUUAUCAUGAGCUGAACUCAAAUAUCUAAGACUUUUUCUAUGUACACAAAAAGCCUAUUUCUCUCAAAUAUUGUUCACAAAUCUGUCAAAAUCUGUGUUAGUGAGCACUUCUCCUUUGCCAAGAUAAUUCAACCUCCUCACAGGUGUGGCAUAUCAAGAUGCUGAUUAGACAGCAUGAUUAUUGCACAGGUGUGCCUUAGGCUGGCCACAAUAAAGGCCAUUCUAAAAUGUGUAGUUUUAUCGCACAGCACAAUGUCGCAAGUUUUGAGGGAGAAUGCAACUGGCAUGCUGCAGGAAUGUCCACCACAGCUGUUGCCUGUGAACUGAAUGUUCAUUUCUCUACCAUAAGCCGCUUCAGAGAAUUUGACAGUACAUCCAACUGGCCUCACAACUGCAAACCACAUGUAGCCACACCAGCCCAGGACCUCCACACCCAGCAUCUUCACCUCCAAGAUCGUCUGAGACCAGCCACCUGAACAUCUGCUGCAACAAUCAGUUUGCAUAACCAACAGAUUUCUGCAUAAACUGUCAGAAACCAUCCCAGGGAAGCUCAUCUGCAUGCUCGUCGUCCUCAUUGGGCUCUCGACCUGACUGUACUUCGUCAUCAUAACCGACUUGAGUGGGCAAAUGCUCACAUUCGAUGACACUUUGGAGAGGAGUUCUCUUCACGGAUGAAUCCCGGUUUUCACUGUACAGGGCAGAUGGCAGACAGCGUGUAUUUCAUUGUGUGGGUUGUAUGUGUGAGCGGUUUGCUGAUGUCAACAUUGUGGAUCGAGUGGCCCAUGGUAUGGGCAGGCGUAUGUUAUGGACAACGAACACAGGUGCAUUUUAUUGAUGGCAUUUUGAAUGCAUAGAUAGAGAUCCUGAGGCCCAUUGUUGUGCCAUUCAUCCAAGACCAUCACCUCAUGUUGCAGCAUGAUAAUGCAGGUCCCCAUGUUGCAAGGAUCUGUACAAAAUUCCUGGAAGCUAAAAACAUCUCAGUUCUUGCAUGACCAGCAUACUCACCAGACAUAUCACCCAUUGAGCAUCUGGAUCAGCAUAUAGGACAGUGGGUACCAGAUCCUGCCAAUAUCCAGCAAGUUUGCAAAGCCAUUGAAGAGGAGUGGACCAACAUUCCACAGGCCAUAAUCAACAACCUGAUCAACACUAUGCAAGGGGAAAAGGUGAGGCAAAUGGUUGUCACACCAGAUACUGACUGGUUUUCGGACACCCCUGGAAUCCCCGUAAUACAGUAAAACUGCACAUUUUAAAGUGGCCUUUUAUUGUGGCCAGCCAAAGGCACACCUGUGCAAUAAUCAUGCUGUCUAUUCAGUAUCUUGAUAUGCCACACCUGUGAGGUGGGUGGAUUAUCUCGGCAAAGGAGAAGUGCUCACUAACACAGAUUUAAACGGAUUUGUGAACAAUAUUUGAGAGAAUUAGGCCUUUUGUGUAAAUAGAAAAAGUCUUAAAUCUUUGAGUUCAGCUCAUGAAAAAUGGGGGCAAAAACAAAAGUGCUGAGUUUAUAAUUUUGUUCAGUGUAUAUAUAUAUUUAUAUAUUGUGGUUCACUAAAGUUGAAUUGGCAGGAAUUGACUAGGGAAUAUUUGAGUCCAAAAUAGCCAGAGUAACGAAAAAAGUAGAUGGGUUGAAGAUUAUAUUUCUUUUGAGACCAAAAAAAUGUAAAUUCCUUUAACCCCUUAAGGCCCAAGUGUAACAAAUGGAGGAGCCUAACCUGUUUUAUGGGGACUUUGAUAUGCAUCAGUUCUGGACAUUUGAAGCAUUCAUCAUACGAAUGCAAACUACCGAACACCGUACCACCCUGCUCCCUAAUUAUAGGUAAUUUACCUCCCUGAUCCACAAGUGCCUUCGCAUAGAAAACCCACGAAUGCUUUGUGAAGUGCCUGGGUGGCCGCCAUUUCGGGACUUACACGUGUUCGCGGCCAUUUUAACUCCCGAACAGCGGUGUUUUGCCGUUGAGUGUCUGGAACUAACAUCGGACUCUCGAGGAGGCGAACACCGCUGAGACCUCCAUAGCACCGGGAAAUCGUGCUACAACUACCGAACAACAGGGCAUUUGGUAGAAAGACUUAAUAGCCUAUGGGGAUUCUGGCGAACGUCAGGUUACGCACGGAUGGUGUAUUGGUUAUGGGCAAUGAUAAAUGUUCUAUUAUUGUGUUCCCAUUCAUGUGCAAUAACUUAUGACACCUAUAGGGGGUGUAGUGAGCUAUGUGACAUUAAGAGCAAGAAGAUGGCUGCUGCAUAUUUAAUGAGACGUGCUUUAGGGAGGAAGUGACCUAUAGGUGGCCUAGUGAGCACUGUGACGUCGAGUGAAUAAAGAUGGCUGCCGCAUAGUCAAUGAGACAUGUGCUUUAGGAAGGUAUUGAAAAUUCUUAAGUCACUUCCUUUCACAAAGGACCACAUGUAGUAUCCGCCUCCUAGAGAUGACCAUUAGGUAUUGGUUAUGUUACCUCUGUGGGUGGAUACCAGAUGGGAGGUUAUUCAAGGGGUUUCCAGAAACUAGAGUUUCAGUUUCAUGACUGGGUCGGAAGAAGCCAGGUGUCUUUAGAGGUGCCCAUGUAAAUCCAUUUAACAUGUGGCAAGGAACUCACCUCAUUGUUCUGUGUGUUAUGCUGAUUCAAUUAUCCUGUGUAAGCUGCUGAAUCUCCAUGAAUAGAGCUAAGUAGAUUUCUUACCUGAAUGUAUUGUUUAUAGCAGUGUGUGUUUUUAAAGUAUUUGUUUCUUUUUUGUGUGCUUGAUAAUUGUAUUCCCAGUAAAGUUUUGUUUAUACUUUCAUCAAAACUUUGCCUCUUGUCUGUUCAUUCAAGAUAUUCACUAAUAUUUAUGUGAUUGACCAGUAUACCUUUUAUUAUUUUAUUUGUGGUAUUAUUUUAUAUUUAUGCAAUUCAGAACUUCAUAAAUAUAAAGAAAUUACUUAAUUUACCAUUACAGAUGGCAAGCUGUUUGGGACUUUUUACGCAUGAACAAAGACUUUUACUACGGUGUUCCCCCAGAAUAGGGCUAUCUGGGGACAUCGGAUUUAUGCAUGUACCCCAAGUAUUUGGGGUACAUCCAAAACUUGGGGAAAAAUGUGUUCUUGCUAAUUGUGUUAUAAAUUUAUCUGAGGGUAGGUGAUGUGUGGGAUGUACCUUAUGUUUAUUGGUUGUUUUGUUAAUUAUGUGGGUGUCUCCCUUGCAUGGGCAGAAUCACAUAAAAAGAGAGUGCCUGUCAUUAAAAGCCAGUUCUUCUUGACCCUUCAAAACGUAGCCUUGUUUCGUUCUUGAAAUGGAAUAUGCAGCAUAAUCACUUAGCUCUUUUUAGAGCUCUACCUGACUCCUGCCUUGGAUCCAGUGGAUGGGAAUAAGUGACUCCAUUACUAUACAGCGACUUGCCGGGAAGAAAAGGACUUCUCCAAUGGCUGAUACCCUCUUACUACCUGGGUAGCUGUUACACCAAGCUUCUGGAAUAAAAUGUAAUCAUGACAUGUCAGACAUGUCAUGUAUCCUUAAGGGGUUAACAUUGCCAUUUUCCAGUUUAUUAUAAAAUACCUCUAGAUAAUGAUCUAGGUAUGGACAGAAUUCAAAAGAUAAAUGGGAUUUAUGUAUGUAUUUAUUUUGUACCACAUUAAGUGCAAAAUAAAUUACAGAUCUAAUCAAUGUUUUGCUUUUCAGAUCCAGUAUAUCAGCUGUUUUUGUUCUAAAGCCAAACAUUAUAUGGACUAACAUAAAGAUUUAAAAGAGGAGUCACGGCAGAAAUGGGACAUGACCAAUAAAACUGGCACAUUUCAGUUUAAAGUGAUGUAUGUAUGAUUCAAAACAUGAUAAAAUCUUUCUAUUGGAAUGGAACGGUCAUCAAUAGCAGCUCCUUACAUAUAAGUCUGAUGAGCACUGGUUGACAACUUUUUCUUCCUUGCACCUUCGGAAGAAUUUGUUACCUUUUUACACAAUAGAUAUUAACUGGUGUGAAGGUAAGAAAAUAAAUCCAAAGCUCUGGCAUCAAAAAGCUAAGGCCCAUCCUUCUGUCUCUGUAUUUUACACUUAUGGUUGUUUUAAUAUGUUACAUCUUCAUUGUCAACUGGCUAAUCUUAUUGCAUUAUAACUGUUGAAUAAAAAAUAAAUAAAAAAAUAUUAUUUUAAAUUAUUCUCUCAACAUAAAGAAUACCUCGUAAUGUAGAUAUGCCAACACAUUUCUAAUUUGCCAAAUAGAUUUCUCACAAGGAAGGAGCAUACCACAUGGUGAGCAGACUUUGCAGGAGAUAGCUGCAUUCUUAAAACUGCUUAUGUCACUAUUGCUAUUAUCAAGUGGUAUGUAGGGUAAUUUCAACUUAUCUAUUUAACCCAAUACAGAAACAUGCUCCUUUAACCAUCAGAUGAUACAAUGCUAAUUAUGCUAAAGUAAGGCCUUUCAUAUUAUCUGAAAUUAGAGCCUAACAUUAAGCUGAAUAGCUCGAAAGGUUUGAAUUCCCAAAAUGUGUAUUCCAUAUGACAAUAAAUAUUUUUUUUAUUUACUGUAAGGACUCAUUGUAAUAUCAGUAUUGCAUGUGAAUAGUCAAACGAGUUCUCCUUUCUAUUCCAUGAAAAGCUAGGCAGAGGAUUUUGUAAAUAGGUUAAAUUAUAUUUAAAUACAUUUUUGCAAGUCAGUACAACCACGUCAUGAAAUACCUGAACGAGGCUAGUCACCCCUUUUGUUAGGUGUCUAUACUGAAAUCACAAGGAACCAUAAAUUGUAGAAAUAUUGCAUGUGAGGCAAGAAACAGACUGGAUUUUUGUAAAAGCUUUGUUCCAUGCUGCCAAAAAUCAUUUAACCUCCUACAUUUCUCGUACUGUAAGUAUUCAGUCAUCCAUGUGUUAGAAAUGGGAGAAGUCCCCUGUGUACACUAUGCAACAAUUAUUUUCUCAUAUCUGCAUUGAGACUCAUCAGAGAGAUACCAGAGGGACAAUAUGUGGUGUUGAAAUUUUAAUCAGAUGACAUUGCAGACUCCUGCAAUCAAGAGUCAAAGCAAUAAUCCAUCUGCGUUCUUAUGACAUAAUACUUAUUGAGCCGGUCCUGCCAUCAGGGAUAAAGGAGUAUGCUGCCAUUGUAAAAUCAGGUGAUCCUACAAUGCAUAUAUAACUUAGCCAAGCCUAUGAGUUUAACCUAGGCCAUCAGGUGGCUAUGACAAUGAUGGAACACCUCAUUAUAAUUACCAAUAUGGAUACCGCAACCAGGCUUGAGGUUGGCCAAUCCUCACAAUGAGAUUUGAAAAAAGGUAAGGAUGGUCCAGGCAUUCAAGUUCAAUCCUGUGGGCAGAUUUAUUUGAGCAAAAUAGAGUAACAGCUUGACAAAGGCCCUGUUGUGGGCCAAAACAUUGUUUUAAUUCUUCUCCAAUAAAUCUGCCCACUGGAUUGAACUUGAGUGCCUGGACAAUCCUUACUUUUUUGGAAAGCCUCAUUAGUCACAGUGCAGGCUGUCACGUGGUUGUGUAAUAAAUUGCCAUGAACAGCAGAGCCUUAAAAAGAAGGUUUCUAGACCAAUAAAAAGUGAGGUUAAAGUACGUUGUGAACUGAAAUAGUGUACUUCUUGUUAUUGGACAUGGACAUCAUUACACUGUACUUGUCAUGGUAAUCUAAUGCUUUUCAGUAUUUAAUGCAGUAGGAGGCAGCUCAGCUAAAGGGUUGUGUACAAAUUCCCAUACUGUUAUAAUGGGAACUGCUUACCUUCUUGUUUAUCGUCAAUUUCUGGUUGAUAUGUUGCAGUAUUCCACUAUUUUGAUAUCUACAGAGCUCUUCAUGUCCAAAACAGCACUAUGCAUAGAUAGCGUUGUAACCAGAUCAUUGAAACUAGCCUGUGAUGUGUGGCCCUUGUAGGAUAUAGGUGUAUUAAGAAAAUUGGAGUUUUACGUUGAUACCAUAAGGCUACCAGAGCGAGAGAGAGACAGAGGUCAGUUAAUCACAUAACAAAGCAAUGCUAGUCAUUUUAUGAUGACAAAAUAAAUUUAUUUUUGGACUGGGGGUCACAUAAUAAAAAUAUAACUUACCCCAAAUUAACUUAAGACCCCCAAAUCAUUUAUUCUAAAGACAGUAAACCCAUCUAUCAACCAAACGUAUUUUAGUGUAUCCCAUUAGUAGAUUAUGAUAGCAUAAUAAUCCAAACACAUAAAAAAGUGGUUUAGUGACGUGUUAAAUAUGUGUGCCUUGAUACUAUCUCCUUUAGAUGAGUGAUCUUUGCUCUUCCUCACACCUGAAAGCUUUGCAGUUUUAGUGUUUUAAGAACACUUGUGCGAAAGGUUUGACAGCAAAGCACUCUGCAAAGGAGAGGCAAACUUGAUAGAAAUUUUUUAGGAAACCCUCUAUGUCAAAGGGAUCAAUUAACUGCACGUUGAUCCCUUAAUUCAGCAAAAUAAAAAAAAAAUGAUAAUUACAAUAUAAACAAGUUGGACAAUAGCUCAGCUAUUUUUAGCUUACAUUUUGAGAAAUUCAGUGUUCAGUUCACCAAAAUUCAGUACAUUUCUAGGUUUUAUUUUCCACAUUGUACAUUGCAUGUAUUCUCAAUUUUUAAGUUUUUCUAGCAAGUUAUGAGACUUCAAACAAAGUCAAUUGCAAUAAAAAAACGAUUUUGCAGCAUGUUUACCAAGACCUUUGACUGGUAGUCUGUUGUAGCAAUUUCAAGGAUGAUUUCUCUAACUAAAUUUCCAAUUUUCAUUCAACAUUCCAUUGCUUCUCUAUUUAAACAUUCUUGGAUGUUUUGUGUGUAUUUAUAGAAAACAAUGCACUGCUUUUGCAGCAUUAUUUCAUCUUCUCAUUAAGUUAUUUAUAUUGACUUUAUGAUGUAUGCAUUCCUUACAAACAAGAUGAAGUCAAAAUGUGCAAAACUAUUUUUUUCUAUCAUACAAGCACUGAUUGAGCUGAAAAAUUAAAUGUAUACUCAGGAAGUAUUCACAACUCUUGGUUUUUUUCACAUCAGCCACCACUCAAUAUCUUAUAAUGACAUAUAUAUAUAAAAAAAAAAAAAAAGAUUUUUGAAAAAAUAAAAUAUCACAUUAAUAGAAAUAUUCAGACCCUUUGCUGAGAAUCUUGAAGUUUAGCUCAGAUGCUUCCAAUUUCUCUGGGUCGUCUUUGAGUUGUUUCUACACUUCGAUUGGACAUGUUACAAAUUCAAUUUAUUGAACAUGAUUUGAAAAGGCACACAUCUAUCUAUAUAAGGUCUCACAGCUGUAGAUGCACAUCAGAGCAAAAAACAAAAAACAAACCAGGAGGUCAAAGGACACUGCCUGCAGAGCUCAGAGGCAGGACUAUGUUGAGGCACAGAUCUAGAGAAAUGUAAGAUUACCUGUAUGUGGCUGCACCACACAGUGUGCAUCAUUCUCACACCCAUACUGAAGCCAUGCCUCAAUCUGGUAUAAUUUCUAUUGCUUGACACUCUGUACUCACAUUUAUUUAUUUAUAAAAUAUUUUACCAGGAAAGAUACAUUGAGAUUUAUCUCAUUUUCAAGUAUGUCCUGGGUACCACAAAUCAGUUUAACCCCUUAAGGACCAAACUUCUGGAAUAAAAGGGAAUCAUGACAUAUCACACAUGUCAUGUGUCCUUAAGGGGUUAAAGGGUUUCUACCAUGCACCAAAUCCUGCAUAAUUCCUACUACAAAGUCUUCACACAUAUUGGGUGCACAGGAAUGACGCAGAACAUCCAUAGGUAUAAAUACUUCAGUCCAUCAUAUGUUCUUUUCCCUGUUAUGGUUACUUCCUGGUCCCAGUAGAGAGUUCCAAGUGUGAAAAAGAGGAUGUCUGAUGAGUGUAAUUAACGCAGAGCAGGCUAUGGUGUCAGGUUUUUCUCUUCUGCUGCUGCACAAUAAUGUCCUUUUUCUUUCAUUAGUAGACUAGUCUGAAAUUGAGAUGGGUGGAUAAGAGGGAGGAGACUGAAGAAACUCUCAUAGCUGAGAGGCGUGCCCAACAAUGCAAUCUGACUAAGUUUAUAAAUGUUUAUUACCUACUAUUCACAUUUUUCUUGUUAUAUUUUGGUUUGUAUAUUUGUGUAAACAUUUUGCAGGUUUAGAAAAAAAUGUCCUUUAGACACAACUAUGUGAUUGUCCUAAGUGGUCCAGCCAGAGUACGGACCUGAACCUAAUCAAACAACUCUGCAGGGACAGAACUGAAAAUGACUGUCCACUGACAGUCUCCAUUCAUCCUUUCAGAUCUUGAGAGGAUCUGCAGAAAUCAAUGGAAGAAGCAAUUCAAAGGUGUAUGCAAAAUUUGUUGCAUUAUACCCAAAAAGGCUUGAGACUAUUAUCACUAGCUUAGAUGCUUCAAUUAACCCCUUCAGACUGGAGGGCAUACAAUUACGCCCUAUUUUAGGCGGCUCUAAACGCCGCCGGGCGUAAUUGUACGCCCUCCGUUUUUUGUUUACUUACCCGGUGCUCCCCCCCGCGGCAGAUCCUCCUCCUCCGGUGACCCCCGGCCAUGUGAGAGUGAGGUCCUUGCGAGGACCCCACAAUCACAUGGCCGGGUAGGCUGCCUCCUGCAUUGCCAGCAGGGGGGCUGCCUGUAAUGACAGGUGGUCUCUCUGCUGGCUGAAAAUAAAAUUAAAAUAAAAUUUAUUAGUGUAAAAAAAUAUAUAUAUACUUAGAUCAUAUAUAUAUAUAUACUAUAUAUAUAUAUGAUCUAAGUAUAUAUAUACACAUAUACAUACACACACAUACACUGUCUAGGUGUAUUUUACUAUUAAUAUAUAUAUAUAUAUAAUUAUAUAUAUAUAUAUAUAUAUUAAUAUCAAAUUACACGUAGACUGAUACUGAUUAAAUAUAUAUAUAAUUAUUGUUAUAUAUAUAUUUAUAUAUAAUAUAAAAAAAUUAAAUAUGUAAAUAUGUUAAAAAAUAAAAUUAAAAUAAUAAUUAAAACAUUUUUUUUUAAAUAUAUAGAUGUGUGUUAUUUCGUUCUAACUGUAUUGUGAUAUUAAUAUAUAUAUAUUUAUAUCAAAAUACAUGUAGAACAAAAUAAUAUAUAUCUACAUACAUAAAUAUAUACGUAUAUAUCACUAUAUAUAUACACCUAUAUAUAAAUAAAAAUAUUUUAAAAAAAUUAUAUAGAUAUACACAUAUAGAUUCACAUAUGUAUUUAUAUACAUAUAUUAAUUCUACAUAUAUAUUUAUGAAAUAUGUUUACAUAAUUAGGUAUCUUAAUUAAUUACAAUUAGCGGGACCUGCCUGACAACCCAUGCCGAAAGUAAAGGGAAUUUAAUUUGCUAGCACUAUAUUUAACCCUAUAACUUUUCAAGACAGCAUAAAACCUGUACAUGGGGGGUACUGUUCUACUCAGGAGACGUCGCUGAACACAAAUAUUAGUGUUUCAAAACAGUAAGAUUUAUUACAAUGAUGAUAUCGCCAGUAAAAGUGACGUUUUUUGCAUUUUUCAUGCACAAACAGCACUUACACGGACGAUAUUAUUGCUGUGAUACUUUUUACUGUUUUGAAACACAAAUAUUUGUGUUCAGCGAAGUCUCCCGAGUACAACAGUACCCCUCAUGUACAGGUUUUAUGGUGUUUUCAAAAGUUACAGCGUUAAAUAUAAGGCUUGUGUUUCAUUUUUUUCACAUUAAAAUUCGCCAGAUUGGUUACGUUGCCUUUGAGACCCUAUGGUAGCCCAAGAAUGAAAAUUACCCCUAUGAUGGCAUACCAUUUGCAAUAGUAGACAACCCAAGGUAUUGCAAACGGGGUAUGUCCAGUCUUUUUUAGUAGCCACUUAGUCACAAACACUGGCCAAAAUUGGCGUUUUUGCAUUUUUCACACAAACAAAUACUAACGCUAACUUUGGCCAGUGUUUGUGACCAAAUGGCUACUAAAAAAGACUAGACAUACCCCAUUUGCAAUACCUUGGGUUGUCUACUAUUGCAAAUGGUAUGCCAUUAUGGGUGUAAAUUUCAUUCCUGGACUACUAUAAAGUCCCAAAGGCAACGUAACCAAUCUGGCGAAUUUCAAUUUCAAAUGUAACAUGCUAUAUUUGACCCUGUAACUUCCCAAAACGCCAUAAAACCUGUACAUAGGGGGUACUGUUUUACACGUGAGACUUUGCUGAAUACAAAUAUGUGUAUUUUAUUGCAGUAAAAGCAAACAGUAUUAUGACAUUGACAGUUAAAAUGUCAUGUAGAACUAAAAAAAAUUUAAAAAUUCUUAUUUUCUCCCAUUGUUUUCAUAUUAAAUUAUGUUUCAUAGCUAAAUAUGAUAUUAAAUGAAAGCCCUGUUUCCCCUGAAUAAAAUGAUAUAUAAUAAGGGUGGGUGCAUUUAAUAUGAAAGAGGUGAAUUAUGGUUGGACAGACAUGUAGAGCAAAUGCCAGGUUUUGUCUACAUUUUGUUUCGUUCACAACGUGUACAUUUGGCUCAGUCCUUAAGGGGUUAAGGGUCUGAAAACAUAUGUCAGUGUGAUAUUUUUGCUUUGUGAUUCUUGGGUGUUGAGUUUAGAUUGGUGCAAAAAAUAAUAAUUUAAACAAUUGUAGCAUGAGCCUGCAACACUAAAAAAAUUGAUUAAAGAAAAAGGUAGGAAUCGGAAUGCUUGCUGAAUGCUCUAUAUUAUUUUUCAAUAUGAAUAACAAAAUAGGUUACUAUGCAUGCAAAAUAGUCAAGCAUUGGGAGUCUUGCACCUGAUAACUCAUCCGUUACAAUAUUUAACUUUGACAAAUAUUAGACAGCUUUGAUAAAACAUGAUGGCUUGUGAUAAUGGUGGAAAACAACAGUCUAGAUUUCCAGAGCCUGGGUUGCAUUUUAUUUUUUAGAGGAAUUAUGUAAAACAUUAAACAGACUUGGUUCCAAACACAUUUAUUUAGCAAAUAGUCUACCUUCUUCUCUAGAAUAGAUGCCAAUGCAUUUUCCUGCUUUUAGGCACAGCACUAUUGCCUUCCAGGAGUCAGUCCAGAACAUACAUGACUUUCUAAUAGCUACUGAGCUAUCACUGUCCCUAUUUUAUGGAACUCAGUAACAUAUUCCUGAAUUACAUCUGCUCCCAUUAUCACUACCCUACUGAUCAUUAGCCCUCAGCCUGCUCAAUAUAUGCUUUAGUGGUUUUACUUCCUAUCUUGACUAUCCGACCCUCACAUGAUAAAUGGAAAUCACAUGAAUUACAUAGAAAUCAAUUCACUGAGCAAAAGGCAUACAUAGUUUGAACCAUAUAAUUAUUAUUACACAUUUCAAUAAUAAUAAAAAAUAUUCUUUCAUUUAUAAAUUGUUACAUUUUGAAAAUGGGUUCUAUUUGUAAGACAGAAAAAGACUCAUAAAGAAUAGUGUUAAACAUUCUUCUGACAAAUUGCUGCUCGCGCUAAUCCUUUUUAUAUCCUUAGUAUCUAAACAUUAUUUUAGCACACACUCUAAACUAUAACUAUUUACUCUUUUAAUUUUCUAAACUUCUUACAUGAUACAUUUCCUUCUGUCUAUUCCAAGGGUAGGCAAAUUUUGGAACUCCAGAUGUUGUGGACUACAUCUCCCCUGAUGUUUGUCAGUAUAAUGGCUGUAAGAGCAUUAUGGUAGUAGCAGACUUGUGCACAUCAUAAAAAUUAAAUUUCUAACAAAGCAUUUUGUACAAAAAAAUUUUUGUUUGGGUGACCAAAAUCCGUCUUUCAGCUUGGACAACUUUCAUCCAUGCAAUUGUUUUAGGAAAAACAGUUCUGACAAACCAGAAGGAGCAAGAAUUGGUAACCAGCGCAAAAUGUUUUACUGCUCCUGCUUUUUCACCUCUAUUGGUUACUUCUCCCUUCAUCUGUGAAUAAAUUCAAUAUUUACUGACUGUCCACCAAAUAUCUUUUUUGCUAUUAAUCAGUUUUUGGUGCCACGGUUGUUCCAGAACAACAAAUCAUAAUAAACUGUUUGUCUGUUGUCCAUUUUGGUAGUUUCAUCAUAAGUCCAUACAAUUAGUGUAAAACUGAAUGCACAACUCUAUUCUAAAGUUCUAGAGACAGGUUCUGGGAUUUCUUGCAUUACAUCAUGACUGUAGUGCUGAAAGGAAGCUAUUGCAUCAUAAUGAGUCACUGUGAAUCUGGAUUAUAUGGGGAAGAGCAAGGGGACCAUUUCAGGUAUCAGGGAAUGCAAAGACAACUUGCUAUGCUUGCAACAGAUCAAUUAUGUGUGAUCUUUGGAUAUUUACAAAGGAUGCACUGUGCAUUUUAGUGCCCCUAUAGUAUUUAGGCUCCUGGGUACAUCUGGUGGCUACUGCUCAUAAAUUGUGUAGCACUGGUCUCACUUAACAUUUUUUUUCAAAUGGACAUUCACAAUAACCCUUUUUAGGUGCAGAGAUAUCAUGUCAAAUUAAAACAAAUUAGGGAAUGACCAGGUGGUGACACUAAGUAAGAUUUAUUUUUUGAGACUUGAGCACACCCAGUUUUGAACUGAAGAUGAAAACACAAAGAGUAUAGUGUAUAUCCUUAUCUCCACCUACACCCCAGUUAAUUACAAAAAAACUGUGAUAUACAAAAAAAACAGACAGGGUUGGUGUGGUGUGCUAUGCAAACAUUUUGUUAGAGUCACCAACUAAGUGGUAUAAAUACACUGGUAUUGGGUCCACCGGAAUGUACUGGUAUUAUAAUAAUACCAGUUGGGAACAGAAAUUCCAGCUUUAAUAACUUUAAGAAACAUAAAAAUAUAACAUAGUGUAAAACCGUGCAAUAUAACAAUAUAAAAUAAGAUAAUUAUUGCACUCACAAGCACUCUGCCACUAAAAGUGGCCAGAAGAUCACAUAGGUAGGUCAAAUGGACCUCCAAAAUGGAACUCCAAAAUGUUCUUGGUCAGAUUAGUCUUUCCACCUCACCCCUGGGUUGCGGAUCCCAAGGAGUAUAGGAAAAGAAGUCACUGAUGUCUAGAUAAGAUAGGAGGGUGUCUCGAUAGAAGUAGGUGAAAAUCUCAGAAUGCUCCAAAAUAUGUCCGACUGGUUUCGUCCUCAGGACUUUCUCAAGGAAGAGCUUGGGUGUAAUCCCCGCCAUUGCGGUUUAUAAACCCAGCGAAUCAAUGUUUAGUAGGUUCAACACGUGUAUUAUAUCCUAUCAGGUGAGUCUAAUAUAUAGAUUAUUAAUCCCACCCAAAAGAUGGCCACCAAAAUCAGAUACGGCAACUAAUAUAGGAAGCCGUUUGGUAAAAACAUCCGGGCUAAUUUCCCAGUGUCUGUACCAAUAUUUUAUCUCCCAAGCAGACCAUCAGAUAGGGAGAAAGUGAUAUUAAACAAACAAAUCGCCAGUAUCUAUAUCGGUGAUCCUAUUACAUACACACAAAAAAUGGACGUGGAAGUACCCAGCGAUGACCCAAAAGGUUGCGCAUGAGCAAUAACUUAGUAAAUAUUCUCAACAAGUUUAUGACUUUCGCAUUCAUCAAUACAACCACAUAAAAUUGGUAAAACCUAGAUGUGUGGAUAAAUCAGCUGUUAAAAGGUGUGUUAAAAAUAUAUAUAUAUAAAAAAUAUAUUAAAAAUAUACAGUGGUAACAGCUGAUUCAGCCAAACAUUAGUAUCAUGAAUGAUCACAGAUAAAAACAUAUAUACAGGCAUUCAUAAAAUACUGGAUUCCUAUGGUGACUAUAAAUUCAUUUGUAAUGCAGAUAUUUAUAAAAUCAUACAAUACAAAUAUUGAUAUAAUAGUUGUUCAAAUAAGCACACAGCAUAUUGUAACCCCAAAAAAGGGGGGAGAUAAGGAAGGAAUUUUUUUUUUUUAUAAAAUCACAGAAAAACACAAAAUAAUCCAUAAAAAAUCUUAUUAUAGGGUUGAAGUGAUAAUCCAGGGGAACUUGCAUUAAGAAUGCAUUAAAACAAGUGAGCUCAACUUCAGCCUUAAAAGUCCCAUUAAAAUGUAUACAUAUGUAAGUCAGAUACGUCAGUGAUAUAAAACAGAUAUACCACAAUGUUUCUAUCCCACCACUGAUGAAUUUAGAAUAUAUGUUUAAAAUAUAAUAUAUACAUUUUAUGAGCCUGUUAUGAUUUGACAAUGUUUUUCUAAGACCCAACACUCAAUCAAAUCUAAAAAAGUAAUGAACUAACCAAUUUGUUUCAUAAGUCAGUAUCAGUAAUGUAUUAUAGUCCUGCUUUAUAUAAAAGCUCAGUACUGGAGGAUGCAUGUAGUGGGUUUUCCCCAGCGCUGUAUGAGUAAUUAUAUAGUUAUUUCCAAUACAUGUCCGUUUACCACAUAAAACCAUAUGGAUGAAUUCUAAAAGAAUAAUCCUCUAAUAGUACUGCAACGCUAAAUAGCAAAAUAAGUUAUUGACCAGUCUUAAGGUUUCCCUUCUACACCUUAAACAUGUUUUACAUUUUUAAAGCUAACACUUCUUAAUCUGUCUAGAAGUCCCCUCGAACUUCCUACUUAGUGGUUAUGCAAUUAGUAUUGGUUCUGGUGUCACGUAUUGUGAGAAAAUAUUGUGAUUGUCUUUACUUUACAGAUAUAUGUGGAUGUGACUGUCAUGCAUUUGUAAAGCACAGGGAGGUAUGUGUAAAAUUUGCUGAUAUAACAGAUAAGUGCUGCAUUAAUGAUGUAUAGACGCUAUCUGGUUUAUGGAAUUGAGUACAACAUAUGUCAUAUGUCAACAUAUGGAUGGUAAGUGUGCUUUAUGAGUGAUGUAUGGAAUGGAUAAUGUGCGGUAAACCAGUUUAAUUUAGUGAUAUACUGUGUUGUUUGGUUGAUGGAUAGCAUCUUCAUAUUUUAUUAUAGAUUGCCUGAUUUCUGAAGCAUGCUACAGCAGAUGAUCCAGUAUUGUAAAUGUUUAACAAACCCACCAAUGUUUCCACAGUACCCACAAGAUUUAUUUACCCCAUAACACUAAUGUAUAGAAAUAAUCAUUUCUUUCCCCAUACCUUGCCCAGCUCAUGUCAAUAGAGAAAUAUCCACCCUUCUUCCAGCCAAAUACUGACAACUGUUGGAAAAAUUGAAAAAAGUGUAAGUUUGUAUGUUUUUCAUCUUCUUCAGGUAUACCAAGAAUUCUAUGGAUUUUCCAUUUAAAUACUGGAUCUUUAAGGCUGUACAUGAAUUUCCAGAUGAGGAAGUGGUGUUUAAGUUUAACCCAUACGCUGCAUGGUACUGUUCCCAUCUGUUAUGGAGUUCUAAGCAUUACAAACUGUACCUACUACUGUAGCGCAAACAUUCCAAUUUUUUUUUUUUUUUUUAUGUGGGCCUACCUUUUUCCUACUCUCUACUACAAGGUAAUAUGAAAGAUGUUCCAGGUUAACACUUUGUGAUAGUUCAUAGGUAUGCCCAUGUUAAUUCUUAAUAAUAUACUCAUUUUUAAACUCUUUACUUUUGCUACGUUUUCUAAUAAUAAAGAAGAACCUAUUACAGAGCCCUCCAUUUUGUUGUAUUCAGAAUAUUUUUACAAAAACAUAUUUUGUGAGGCGAGAAUAUCUUUUGUGAGGCACGUACAUCUAAUUAAGGAGCGGAGCACAGGUUAUAUUUAUGAAACCCUACACCGAGCACUCAGUAUAUGUCACAUGUAACCUGAGUGAAAUAAUCAUGCACACUAUGUACUUGACAUCAUGCAUACCGAUUACAUACAUUUAAAUAAACACAUUACUCACAGAAAAUAGAGUACAUUUACCAGAAGAUAAAGUGUUGGCUAUAUGUUGCAGUUUUACCACUUUCUGAAAAUAUCAGUGGUAUAUAAAGUAAAUCUUAUAAUCCCUUGACAUGUAUUGACAUGGGCAUCAUAUCUGUAUUUGUCAGGAAAUGUUUUUCAUAAAUUGCAUAUUGUUAGCAUGAAUACACUUAUCUUUAGUAUAAAAAUAUGAUGAUUGUAAUUAUAAGGUAAUUUCACUAGAAAUAUUUUUGUAGACUAAAGAAAAUUAUUUUUAGCAAUCUCUCUUUUUUUUAAACAUAACCAACAACAACAACAACAAAAAAAACCCCACACACAUCCAUAAUCCUUCCACAUGUGUUGUUUAUUGGAUAUUAUAAACAUUCUAUUUUUAAAAUUCCUUUCCGCAGUCUUUCACGUUACAUUAAUGUACUCCAUAAGAAAGCCAUCUCUUCUCUAGGAGUUUGCCAUAGAGGUUAACUGUAUAACAGCUAAUUGCUAGAACUUUGGGAAUAAUCUUACGUGUAAGUGCUAUGCCCCUAUUCUGAUUUGUCUCUACAAUUUUAGGUUGUUUGCCAAAAUACACUUUGUACACUAAUAGAAAAGGAACAGGAUGACCCAAUUAUGCUGAUGUAAAUUAAACCCUUUGCUCAAACUCCCAUUACUCCUCGGUGUCAGCAAUGACCAUAGUACACGUCAACCCCAACAUGUACAAUUAAAACCAAAGUAAAAAGUUACUUUCACACUAUCCAAAUCCCUGUGCACAUUUAAGAGGUUUUUUUAGUAUCACUCCAAUUGCCAUUGAAGUGUAAGCUCACCUGGCACAUCAAGGUAAAACUCUUAGGUGCGUCCUACACUAACAAUUCACCUGACUGUCUUCAACUGUAAACUUAGUAGUAGUUUGGGGCUUGACAGGUGCCCUUUAAGGUUGUAAAUGUGACAAUUCCUAAUGUUCACAUGGGAGUUGUUUUAAAAUUCACCCUCUAAAUUUUCAUUUAUAUAUAUAUAUAUAUAUAUAUAUAUAUACAGCCAAAAGUGCAAGAUAGCACUCCAGGGACUUCCAAGUAGAAUGAAUAAAACUUAGCUUUUAUUAGCUCAAAAUAAAAAUCAACGUUACAGUCUGUAUCACAGACUUUCAUUAGGAUGAGUAUGAGUAAUUAUAGGAUGAAAGUCUGUGAUACAGACUGAAACGUUGAUUUUUAUUUUGAGCUAAUAAAAGCUAAGUUUUAUUCAUUCAACUUGGAAGUCCCUGGAGUGCUAUCUUGUACUUUUGGCUGUAUCUGUUUGCUGAUAAGCACCGGGCAAGUACAUCAAGGAAGGUGGAGUGCAUUACUAUUUUUGUUUUAUAUAUAUAUAUGUGUGUGUGUGUGUGUGUGUGUGUGUGUGUAAUACACUACACACAUUAUUGUUCAUUUUUCUUAUUUUUUCAAAUGUUCUUGUGUAAUAAAAAAUAACUUUGAAUAUCCCUAGUAUAAUAAUGACUGUUUCAAUUAAUGAUUAUUCAAAUUUGUAAAAAUGAAAAGAUUGAAGGAUGGAAUCACAUUGGAAUCCAUUUAAAUGCAACCAAUAGCUUAUAUACUUAUAUAAUUUAGAAGGAAAGAUGCAAUUACAUUAAUCUUUAGAACAGUGCUGCACUAUGCUUCACUAUGCAUAACUACGUGCAUAGAGUUUUUGUACCAUUAUUGUACAAUGUAUAGAGAUUGUAAAAAGUGAUGUGUACUUUUUACUAUUGGUUAGUAUACCAAACGUGUGGAAGGUAACUAAUGCUGUAUAACUGAAGCUAAUAAUGCCCCUCCUUAAGGUUUUAAUAAUGAAAGCGUCUGGAUGUAUACUAAUAAUACCUGGCAGAGAAAUCCUACAAAGUUCAAUGGUUUAUCUGAUGUUUUUGCAAUCAGCUCCUGUAAAAUCUAUUGCUUUCAAGCAAUUAUCUUGCUAUAAUUUGUUAAAUCUCAACAGCACACUGCUCCAGCAGUCUUGGGAACACCCCACUAAUCUUUGCCUGAAAAUACAUGAACACAGAGCAGUUCUGACGCUCGAGCUGCCUGAGGACUGUGGAAGUAAUCGAAGUGAGGGAGGCGACCAAUUCCCCACUCUGCAUUUGACUCCAGCGCUCAUCUGGGCCCUGCUUUUCAACCUUCACAAUGGUUGUGAUUAUCCUGGACUGCAUUGAAGGGAUUUUAUUAGCUCUUCUGAGCAUCGCUGUUACCUGGUCCUAUUCUCCACACAAGGCCUCGUUAUUAAGAUGGCUACCACUCAGGGAGACAGAGAGGGGCAUAUUUCUCACCAGUCCUUGACAAUGUUGAAGACCUUACGAGCUCUGUAUACGAUGUUAGGUUACACUACAUAAACACUCUGCUAAAGCCUUAUUAAGCCUCAGAUUCUGAAAUCCAAGCUGACAACUCUGCACUCAUUAUCUCAGAUACCUCCGGUCCAUUACCACAUUUCUGGGCCGAGUACAUUUAGGGCAUCAUCACCCCAGUGCAUCUUGCACACCUGAAUGGUCUCGGAUCACCCUUUUGGAGACACAGAUUAUGGUGCAACAUGUGGUCAGAUCAGCAGGAAAUGUACAUGGGCUCUAUAUGUAGCCUAGGGCAGGUGGAAGGGACUUUACUUUGGGGCUGAGGCAGUUUUGGGAAGUGAAUGCCCAAGCAUUGGGAAUUGGAUGAAGAUGAUAAAGCCUGUAAGCUCUGCACUGUGUAGUUUGAUUUUCUUUAGCACUUAUUUUUAGCAAUAUAAUUUCAGUUUCGCUUACUUUAAUAACAAAGUAAAAUUCCUAUUCCAGAGAUUCUGGGUGGAGGGACUCUGUCCCAGUGAUAUUUGUUCUCAUUAAAUAUAACAAUUACACACAGGUUUACAAAACUAGGGAGUUAUCAGAUAAACUGAUGAAGGAGCAAAAUUAAGAGAAGCCCCAUUCUCAAUUUUGCACUUUCAGUUGUUUAAUUGGCACCACGUAUCCUUAAUUAUAGCAAUCUUAUGUAAGGAUAACAGAUUAGGGAAUUAUCUACUAAACAGGUGGAAGAUCAGCAUUAAGAAAAUACCUUUUCUCAGUUUCGCUCUUUCAGUUGUUUAGUAGAUAACUCUUUCAUUUGCAAUCAUUAUUAUAUAACAAAUACAUUUAAAAAAAAUGGUUAUUACUUUGUUUUGUUUUCGGUUGAUUCUGAAAUUUGGAUGCUUCUGAAUUGUAUAAUUCAGCAGCAUUCAAACAAAAUGUAAUUUACUCCAAAACAAAUUGCACAUAUUAUGUCUGCAUAUUAUGAACACUGCAAUACAGAGUGACCCUCUAAAUAUCAUACUAAUUAAUGAAAUGUUGAUUAAACUUAACUAAAGCACAAAUAAUAUCUAUAAGCACAUAGGGAACCAAUGUUUUCGAAUGUGCAAAAAGUCAUAAAUAAAUUAAGGGCAUUUAUUUCCAUGAAGGGUAUAUUUUCCUCUGAUUUCCUAGAACAAGUCAGAUGCCGAACUUACGAGUACUUUCCAUUUUCAUGGCAUGUAAAAACCUCAACAUAUGCAGUUAAGCAGAAACAGGACUAUGAAUCUAUGAAUGUUCAUGUGCGUAUUUUUCAAGCAAACACAUGGUUAUGUGAUAAUAAAGUUUUGUAAUAUGAAACUGUGAAUUUACCUCCACUUUAAGCUAUCACUUCCAUUUCAUUUUGGAAAAGCAAAACAAAGAUGUUUGAACUAAUAUUCUUGAAGGACAGGAAAAGUGCCGGAUCUGUAUGUGACGUGUGGAAUGAGAUUUAUGAAUAGUGUGCUAAAUAUAUAAAGUAAUGUAGAGAUUGUUUUUUUCAUUUGUUUUCUAAAGGGAUACUAAAAUGGUGUAUAGAUCAUUGCCCUGUAGUUUCACUACUCAAUUCUCUGCCAUUUAGGAGUUAAAUCGAUUUAAUGCACACCCUCCAUGUAUGUGACAUACACAGCCAUAUUAAACACUUCCUGUAAAAAGAGUUCUAAUGUUUAAACAUCCUUUAUUUCACAGUCUAUUUAAUUUAGAAUUUUAUCCCCUGCUCUGUUAGUAGCCUCCAAGAGCUUGCAGAAGCCUCCUGUGUGUGAUUAUCAUUAAUUAGUGAGUUACGAGUAAAGUAAGUGAAAAUCAGAUUAAAAAUGAAACUAUUUUUUUCAUGUAUGCUGUGUGUCUCACAGCCAGGUGAGGUGUAACUAGAAACACAAGUAAUUUAAACUGACGCUAUAGUCAACAGAACAUUUACAGCUUAAUGUAGUAGUUUUGAUGACUAUAGCAUGACCCUGCAGGCUCAGCAAUGUAAAUGCUACCAAUUCAGAGUAAAGGAAGCUUAUACAUUGUUUAGUAACACCUAUAGAUGUGGUCACUCAGAUGGCUCCAAGCGUCCUAUUUCAGUGCUACAUUGUGUGCAGCACUUGUGUUUAGCAUCUUCAUGAAUACUCCUCUGAAUGAUCCCCAUAGAGAUGCACUGAUUCAAUGCAUCUCUUUAAGGAGAUGCUGAUUGGCGCAUUGGCUGAUGUGCAAUAUCCUCCCAAUGCUUUCCUAUGGGAAAAUUCCUGCUAUUUAAAAUUCCUGCUGCUGUUGCACUCAUCCAGGACAAGGGAAUUGAUCCACUAUGAGAAAGACGGUCCAUCAAUAAAGUACCUCUCAUUCUGUUUAUUGGGGCCUGAUAUUUCAUAUUUACCCCCAAACAGCAGUUACACUUAUCUGAUAAGAUGAAUAGAAUUACUGAAUAUGUUAAUAUCAGCCAUACUAGACAAUAAAGGUAUGGGCAUAUAUCUUCAAAUAUAUUUUUGUUGUCAAAUGAGAAAGCAAAGGUUCUUUUUUUUACAGGAACACGCACAGGGAUCUCCUUGCUAAUGCAAUACUUCGUAAUCUAGCCCUUAAGGCACAACAACAAUCUAGAAUUUAGGUUUUUCCCAAUUAUAUCCCCAUGGAGACCCCCCAAAAAAUCUAAAUGGUUAGUAUGGAUUGAGAACAUGGUUGGCAAGCACUGCCAUAAACUCUGCAAUGAGCUUAGGUUGUUAUGGUUCAUGCAGUAUCCCUUUAAAUACAAGAAAGUUUAGAUCAGCAAGGAAUGAACAUGUGUGUGCUUUUCAAGUCUGUGCCAAGUGAAGUCGGACACAGCCACUAAUGUAAACCAGAUGCAGUUCCAAGUUUUAACCUAAAUUUGCAUUAAACCAACCAUGCAAAUGUCAGGUUUACUCAAGUUUCUUAAGCCCAGAACAAAGAGAAAAAGAGACCUCGGUUAACAUACUCAUGUAAUCAUUCUUGUAACCAUGAUAUUGGCUAUAUACUUUUCACAAACAAACAGAUAAGCAAAGGCAAUUGAAAAGAAAAUAUAGAUUAGGAAGUGUGUUACAAUUUAACAGCUAAUUUCAGUAGUCUAGCAAAAUAUUUUCUUUAAUUGCAGUUUGGUAAUUUAAAUUAAUCUCUGCUAUGAAACAUAUAAUGGUUUUACUACGUAUAAACUUUAUUUUCCUUAUUACAAAUUCUAAAUGUCAUAGGGAAAUCAUAAUAUUUAAUUUUUGCACAGAUGAGUGCCAUGUAUAUUUCUGCUAAUGAAGUAGAUGUUAAGUAAUGAAAAAGUACAAUACUAACUUUAGUGUUUCAAAUUUUUUUUUUUGGCAUAUUUAUUAAUGGAUAACACCACUUUUCUGUUAUAUUUUCCAUCUGCAGAAAACCUUUGGAUCGUGUUCAGAAUGUAGCAUAGAAGGCAAUGGCCGUGUGCAGCUUAUCUGAUGCUGGAAGGUAAACAGAAAUUGAUGUUGAAUACCCAGGGAAUCCACUUUGAACUAGGACUACAAGGACUGCAACUACCCAGCAGGCAUUUCCACCGCUCAUGAUUGAGGCCGGUCCAAGCAGCUUAGGCUUCCUAGCAGCUGCUUUUGAAAUCUAAUAUUUCCGAAGCAGGAAGCAGAGAAGGAAGUAAGGAAUCAGUAGAGCAAAGGUGGCAAAAAAGCAGUGACUGGUAAUGUGUGGUGAUUGAGAAAUAUGUAUUUUCUAACAGUACACAACUAUAAAAAAAACAAACGGAUGAAAAAAUAAUAAAUUCAAG
Molecule: non-coding RNA, 32090 nt
Organism: Pelobates cultripes (western spadefoot toad)
Lineage: Eukaryota; Metazoa; Chordata; Amphibia; Anura; Pelobatidae
Source: the annotation of a GenBank genome assembly